Molecule: ribosomal RNA, 460 nt
Filed under: uncultured bacterium
Lineage: Bacteria
Description: partial 16S ribosomal RNA
Rfam family: Bacterial small subunit ribosomal RNA
Source: RNAcentral
CCUACGGGAGGCAGCAGUGAGGAAUAUUGGUCAAUGGACGAAAGUCUGAACCAGCCAAGUAGCGUGAAGGAUGACUGCCCUAUGGGUUGUAAACUUCUUUUAUAUGGGAAUAAAAUGUUCCACGUGUGGGAUUUUGUAUGUACCAUAUGAAUAAGGAUCGGCUAACUCCGUGCCAGCAGCCGCGGUAAUACGGAGGGUCCGGGCGUUAUCCGGAUUUAUUGGGUUUAAAGGGAGCGUAGGUGGAGUGUUAAGUCAGUUGUGAAAGUUUGCGGCUCAACCGUAAAAUUGCAGUUGAAACUGGCAGUCUUGAGUACAGGAGAGGUGGGCGGAAUUCGUGGUGUAGCGGUGAAAUGCUUAGAUAUCACGAAGAACUCCGAUUGCGAAGGCAGCUUACUGGAGUGCAACUGACACUGAGGCUCGAAAGUGCGGGUAUCAAACAGGAUUAGAUACCCGGGUAGUC